UUCCGGUUGAUCCUGCCGGAGGCCAUUGCUAUUGGGAUUCGAUUUAGCCAUGCUAGUCGCACGAGUUCAGACUCGUGGCGAAUAGCUCAGUAACACGUGGCCAAACUACCCUUCGGACCACUAUACCCUCGGGAAACUGAGGCUAAUAAUGGAUACCACAGUCCAGCUGGAAUGAGGACUGUGCCAAACGCUCCGGCGCCGAAGGAUGUGGCUGCGGCCGAUUAGGUAGACGGUGGGGUAACGGCCCACCGUGCCAAUAAUCGGUACGGGUCAUGAGAGUGAGAACCCGGAGACGGAAUCUGAGACAAGAUUCCGGGCCCUACGGGGCGCAGCAGGCGCGAAACCUUUACACUGCACGACAGUGCGAUAAGGGAAUCCCAAGUGCGUAGGCAUAGAGCCUACGCUUUUGUCCACCGUAGGGAGGUGGACGAAUAAGGGCUGGGCAAGACCGGUGCCAGCCGCCGCGGUAAUACCGGCAGCCCGAGUGAUGGCCGAUCUUAUUGGGCCUAAAGCGUCCGUAGCUGGCCGCACAAGUCCAUCGGAAAAUCCACCCGCCCAACGGGUGGGCGUCCGGUGGAAACUGUGUGGCUUGGGACCGGAAGGCGCGACGGGUACGUCCGGGGUAGGAGUGAAAUCCCGUAAUCCUGGACGGACCGCCGAUGGCGAAAGCACGUCGCGAAGACGGAUCCGACAGUGAGGGACGAAAGCUAGGGUCUCGAACCGGAUUAGAUACCCGGGUAGUCCUAGCCGUAAACAAUGCCUGCUAGGUGUGGCUCCCACUACGAGUGGGUGCUGUGCCGUAGGGAAGCCGCUAAGCAGGCCGCCUGGGAAGUACGUCCGCAAGGAUGAAACUUAAAGGAAUUGGCGGGGGAGCACUACAACCGGAGGAGCCUGCGGUUUAAUUGGACUCAACGCCGGA
Molecule: ribosomal RNA, 919 nt
Filed under: uncultured archaeon
Lineage: Archaea
Description: bacterial SSU rRNA
Rfam family: Archaeal small subunit ribosomal RNA
Source: RNAcentral